Molecule: ribosomal RNA, 253 nt
Filed under: uncultured bacterium
Lineage: Bacteria
Description: partial 16S ribosomal RNA
Rfam family: Bacterial small subunit ribosomal RNA
Source: RNAcentral
UACGUAGGGUGCAAGCGUUGUCCGGAAUUAUUGGGCGUAAAGAGCUCGUAGGCGGUUUGUUGCGUCGGCUGUGAAAUCCCGAGGCUCAACCUCGGGUCUGCAGUCGAUACGAGCAAACUAGAGUGUUGCAGGGGAGACUGGAAUUCCUGGUGUAGCGGUGAAAUGCGCAGAUAUCAGGAGAAACACCGGUGGCGAAGGCGGGUCUCUGGGCAACAACUGACGCUGAGGCGCGAAAGCUAGGGGAGCAAACGGG